RNAcentral lists this ribosomal RNA (253 nucleotides) under uncultured bacterium. RNAcentral's name for it is "partial 16S ribosomal RNA". It matches the Rfam family "Bacterial small subunit ribosomal RNA", at positions 524 to 776 of the family's 1533-position model. The record is from RNAcentral.
UACGUAGGGGGCUAGCGUUGUCCGGAAUCAUUGGGCGUAAAGCGCGCGUAGGCGGCCCGGUAAGUCCGCCGUGAAAGUCCAGGGCUCAACCCUGGAAUGCCGGUGGAAACUGCCGGGCUGGAGUCCGGAAGAGGCGAGUGGAAUUCCUGGUGUAGCGGUGAAAUGCGCAGAUAUCAGGAGGAACACCAAUGGCGAAGGCAGCUCGCUGGGACGGUACUGACGCUGAGACGCGAAAGCGUGGGGAGCAAACAGG